UACGCAGGUGGCAAGCGUUGUCCGGAUUUACUGGGCGUAAAGAGCGCGCAGGCGGUCGUUCAAGUCGCGUGUGAAAGCCCCCGGCUCAACUGGGGAGGGUCACGCGAUACUGAUCGACUCGAAGGCAGGAGAGGGUAGUGGAAUUCCCGGUGUAGUGGUGAAAUGCGUAGAUAUCGGGAGGAACACCAGUGGCGAAGGCGACUACCCGGCCUGUUCUUGACGCUGAGGCGCGAAAGCUAGGGGAGCAAACGGG
Molecule: ribosomal RNA, 253 nt
Filed under: uncultured bacterium
Lineage: Bacteria
Description: partial 16S ribosomal RNA
Rfam family: Bacterial small subunit ribosomal RNA
Source: RNAcentral